GGGUUGUGAGGUUAAGCGACUAAGCGUACACGGUGGAUGCCCUGGCAGUCAGAGGCGAUGAAGGACGUGCUAAUCUGCGAUAAGCGUCGGUAAGGUGAUAUGAACCGUUAUAACCGGCGAUUUCCGAAUGGGGAAACCCAGUGUGUUUCGACACACUAUCAUUAACUGAAUCCAUAGGUUAAUGAGGCGAACCGGGGGAACUGAAACAUCUAAGUACCCCGAGGAAAAGAAAUCAACCGAGAUUCCCCCAGUAGCGGCGAGCGAACGGGGAGCAGCCCAGAGCCUGAAUCAGUGUGUGUGUUAGUGGAAGCGUCUGGAAAGGCGCGCGAUACAGGGUGACAGCCCCGUACACAAAAAUGCACAUACUGUGAGCUCGAUGAGUAGGGCGGGACACGUGGUAUCCUGUCUGAAUAUGGGGGGACCAUCCUCCAAGGCUAAAUACUCCUGACUGACCGAUAGUGAACCAGUACCGUGAGGGAAAGGCGAAAAGAACCCCGGCGAGGGGAGUGAAAAAGAACCUGAAACCGUGUACGUACAAGCAGUGGGAGCACGCUUCGGCGUGUGACUGCGUACCUUUUGUAUAAUGGGUCAGCGACUUAUAUUCUGUAGCAAGGUUAACCGAAUAGGGGAGCCGAAGGGAAACCGAGUCUUAACUGGGCGUUAAGUUGCAGGGUAUAGACCCGAAACCCGGUGAUCUAGCCAUGGGCAGGUUGAAGGUUGGGUAACACUAACUGGAGGACCGAACCGACUAAUGUUGAAAAAUUAGCGGAUGACUUGUGGCUGGGGGUGAAAGGCCAAUCAAACCGGGAGAUAGCUGGUUCUCCCCGAAAGCUAUUUAGGUAGCGCCUCGUGAAUUCAUCUCCGGGGGUAGAGCACUGUUUCGGCAAGGGGGUCAUCCCGACUUACCAACCCGAUGCAAACUGCGAAUACCGGAGAAUGUUAUCACGGGAGACACACGGCGGGUGCUAACGUCCGUCGUGAAGAGGGAAACAACCCAGACCGCCAGCUAAGGUCCCAAAGUCAUGGUUAAGUGGGAAACGAUGUGGGAAGGCCCAGACAGCCAGGAUGUUGGCUUAGAAGCAGCCAUCAUUUAAAGAAAGCGUAAUAGCUCACUGGUCGAGUCGGCCUGCGCGGAAGAUGUAACGGGGCUAAACCAUGCACCGAAGCUGCGGCAGCGACACUAUGUGUUGUUGGGUAGGGGAGCGUUCUGUAAGCCUGUGAAGGUGUGCUGUGAGGCAUGCUGGAGGUAUCAGAAGUGCGAAUGCUGACAUAAGUAACGAUAAAGCGGGUGAAAAGCCCGCUCGCCGGAAGACCAAGGGUUCCUGUCCAACGUUAAUCGGGGCAGGGUGAGUCGACCCCUAAGGCGAGGCCGAAAGGCGUAGUCGAUGGGAAACAGGUUAAUAUUCCUGUACUUGGUGUUACUGCGAAGGGGGGACGGAGAAGGCUAUGUUGGCCGGGCGACGGUUGUCCCGGUUUAAGCGUGUAGGCUGGUUUUCCAGGCAAAUCCGGAAAAUCAAGGCUGAGGCGUGAUGACGAGGCACUACGGUGCUGAAGCAACAAAUGCCCUGCUUCCAGGAAAAGCCUCUAAGCAUCAGGUAACAUUAAAUCGUACCCCAAACCGACACAGGUGGUCAGGUAGAGAAUACCAAGGCGCUUGAGAGAACUCGGGUGAAGGAACUAGGCAAAAUGGUGCCGUAACUUCGGGAGAAGGCACGCUGAUAUGUAGGUGAAGUCCCUCGCGGAUGGAGCUGAAAUCAGUCGAAGAUACCAGCUGGCUGCAACUGUUUAUUAAAAACACAGCACUGUGCAAACACGAAAGUGGACGUAUACGGUGUGACGCCUGCCCGGUGCCGGAAGGUUAAUUGAUGGGGUUAGCGGUAACGCGAAGCUCUUGAUCGAAGCCCCGGUAAACGGCGGCCGUAACUAUAACGGUCCUAAGGUAGCGAAAUUCCUUGUCGGGUAAGUUCCGACCUGCACGAAUGGCGUAAUGAUGGCCAGGCUGUCUCCACCCGAGACUCAGUGAAAUUGAACUCGCUGUGAAGAUGCAGUGUACCCGCGGCAAGACGGAAAGACCCCGUGAACCUUUACUAUAGCUUGACACUGAACAUUGAGCCUUGAUGUGUAGGAUAGGUGGGAGGCUUUGAAGUGUGGACGCCAGUCUGCAUGGAGCCGACCUUGAAAUACCACCCUUUAAUGUUUGAUGUUCUAACGUUGACCCGUAAUCCGGGUUGCGGACAGUGUCUGGUGGGUAGUUUGACUGGGGCGGUCUCCUCCUAAAGAGUAACGGAGGAGCACGAAGGUUGGCUAAUCCUGGUCGGACAUCAGGAGGUUAGUGCAAUGGCAUAAGCCAGCUUGACUGCGAGCGUGACGGCGCGAGCAGGUGCGAAAGCAGGUCAUAGUGAUCCGGUGGUUCUGAAUGGAAGGGCCAUCGCUCAACGGAUAAAAGGUACUCCGGGGAUAACAGGCUGAUACCGCCCAAGAGUUCAUAUCGACGGCGGUGUUUGGCACCUCGAUGUCGGCUCAUCACAUCCUGGGGCUGAAGUAGGUCCCAAGGGUAUGGCUGUUCGCCAUUUAAAGUGGUACGCGAGCUGGGUUUAGAACGUCGUGAGACAGUUCGGUCCCUAUCUGCCGUGGGCGCUGGAGAACUGAGGGGGGCUGCUCCUAGUACGAGAGGACCGGAGUGGACGCAUCACUGGUGUUCGGGUUGUCAUGCCAAUGGCACUGCCCGGUAGCUAAAUGCGGAAGAGAUAAGUGCUGAAAGCAUCUAAGCACGAAACUUGCCCCGAGAUGAGUUCUCCCUGACUCCUUGAGAGUCCUGAAGGAACGUUGAAGACGACGACGUUGAUAGGCCGGGUGUGUAAGCGCAGCGAUGCGUUGAGCUAACCGGUACUAAUGAACCGUGAGGCUUAACCUUACAACGCCGAAGGUGUUU
RNAcentral lists this ribosomal RNA (2932 nucleotides) under Escherichia coli. RNAcentral's name for it is "bacterial LSU rRNA". It matches the Rfam family "Bacterial large subunit ribosomal RNA". Lineage: Bacteria; Pseudomonadati; Pseudomonadota; Gammaproteobacteria; Enterobacterales; Enterobacteriaceae. The record is from RNAcentral. RNAcentral also lists the same sequence under 4 other names.